RNAcentral lists this non-coding RNA (28 nucleotides) under Bombyx mori (domestic silkworm). Lineage: Eukaryota; Metazoa; Arthropoda; Insecta; Lepidoptera; Bombycidae. The record is from RNAcentral.
UACUAACGGAUGCACCACUAUCAACGAG